CCUACGGGAGGCAGCAGUGGGGAAUUUUGGACAAUGGGCGCAAGCCUGAUCCAGCCAUUCCGCGUGAGUGAAGAAGGCCUUCGGGUUGUAAAGCUCUUUCGCAAGGGAAGAAAACUUACACAAUAACACUGUGUGAGGCUGACGGUACCUUGAUAAGAAGCACCGGCUAACUACGUGCCAGCAGCCGCGGUAAUACGUAGGGUGCGAGCGUUAAUCGGAAUUACUGGGCGUAAAGCGUGCGCAGGCGGUUUUGUAAGUCAGAUGUGAAAUCCCCGAGCUCAACUUGGGAACUGCGUUUGAAACUACAAGACUAGAAUAUGUCAGAGGGGGGUAGAAUUCCACGUGUAGCAGUGAAAUGCGUAGAGAUGUGGAGGAAUACCAAUGGCGAAGGCAGCCUCCUGGGAUAAUAUUGACGCUCAUGCACGAAAGCGUGGGGAGCAAACAGGAUUAGAUACCCUGGUAGUCCACGCCCUAAACGAUGUCUACUAGUUGUUGGUGGAGUAAAAUCCAUGAGUAACGCAGCUAACGCGUGAAGUAGACCGCCUGGGGAGUACGGUCGCAAGAUUAAAACGUUAAAGGAAUUGACGG
RNAcentral lists this ribosomal RNA (588 nucleotides) under uncultured bacterium. RNAcentral describes it as "bacterial SSU rRNA". It matches the Rfam family "Bacterial small subunit ribosomal RNA", at positions 338 to 916 of the family's 1533-position model. The record is from RNAcentral.